GGUCAGGACGAACGCUGGCGGCGUGCCUAACACAUGCAAGUCGAGCGAGGAGAUCCUCGGGAUGAUCCUAGCGGCGGACGGGUGAGUAACACGUGGGCAACCUGCCUCAUAGAGAGGAAUAGCCUUCCGAAAGGGAGAUUAAUACCUCAUAACAUUGCAGUUUCGCAUGGAACAGCAAUUAAAGGAGCAAUCCACUAUGAGAUGGGCCCGCGGCGCAUUAGCUAGUUGGUGAGGUAACGGCUCACCAAGGCGACGAUGCGUAGCCGACCUGAGAGGGUGAUCGGCCACAUUGGGACUGGGACACGGCCCAGACUCCUACGGGAGGCAGCAGUGGGGAAUAUUGCACAAUGGGGGAAACCCUGAUGCAGCCAACGCCGCGUGAGUGAUGACGGCCUUCGGGUUGUAAAGCUCUGUCUUCAGGGACGAUAAUGACGGUACCUGAGGAGGAAGCCACGGCUAACUACGUGCCAGCAGCAGC
RNAcentral lists this ribosomal RNA (478 nucleotides) under uncultured bacterium. Its description in RNAcentral is "bacterial SSU rRNA". It matches the Rfam family "Bacterial small subunit ribosomal RNA", at positions 22 to 518 of the family's 1533-position model. The record is from RNAcentral.